GCCAUCAAUGCAAAGUACCCCUUUCGGAGCCUAUUGUUAUCACUCAAAAGGCAAAAAUAGCUACUUUCACAGGGAUUUUGGGAGAUGUUACCACAUACUGUAAAAAGUGUGGGGUCUGUGGGAACUUCUUCCGAUAUCAGGAAUGGACUGAGGGGCUUCAUAACUUUGAUGAUCAUAUGAUUCUCUCUAUUCAUCUAUGCCUUUUGUUAUGUCAAUCAGUGCAGAAUCACACAGCAGUUGGCAGGCAGCUGGACAUUUUGGAGCAAACAAACAAA
Molecule: long non-coding RNA, 275 nt
Organism: Alosa sapidissima (American shad)
Lineage: Eukaryota; Metazoa; Chordata; Actinopteri; Clupeiformes; Clupeidae
Exons: 3
Source: RefSeq, a predicted model, not a curated record